RNAcentral lists this non-coding RNA (90 nucleotides) under Desulfotalea psychrophila. Its description in RNAcentral is "Glycine sequence". It matches the Rfam family "Glycine riboswitch aptamer". From Rfam's summary of the family: This family represents the bacterial glycine riboswitch. Glycine riboswitches usually consist of two metabolite-binding aptamers domains with similar structures in tandem. RNAcentral also lists the same sequence under 1 other name. The record is from RNAcentral. Lineage: Bacteria; Pseudomonadati; Thermodesulfobacteriota; Desulfobulbia; Desulfobulbales; Desulfocapsaceae.
AGCCUCUGGAGAGUCUCAUUAUGGGCACCGAAGGAGCAAGCCAGCGUGUAGCUGGUGAACCUCUCAGGUACAAGGGACAGAGUGUAGCAG